Notothenia coriiceps (black rockcod) is the source of this 545-nucleotide long non-coding RNA. RefSeq lists it as uncharacterized. The record is from RefSeq and is a predicted model, not a curated record. Lineage: Eukaryota; Metazoa; Chordata; Actinopteri; Perciformes; Nototheniidae. The transcript is spliced from 2 exons.
UGUGAGGAAUUAAAUGUGAAACAAAUAGCAACAAAAUAAGCCUUUUCUCCAAAAGUGUAAACGACACACAUGCAGUAGGCUUAGUACUCAUGUAUAAUAUCAACCAUAGUUCAUAUAUGUCUCUUCUUCAUGUCUCUAAAUAUCUAAAUGUUCCUUCAGAGAUAUACUUGAAGACGACCCAGGCGGCCAAACUGUCGUACGUUGUGUUCAUCGUGAAGAGCAGCGUCUACGGCGCCGGCGUGGCCUUCCUGCUGUGGAGGCUGCAGGGAUCAGCGGGGAAGCAGAACAACUGAGAGCCGAGGCCGGAGAAAAUAGAUCCAGGGCAUCAGUAAUGCUUCUGUAAAUCAAACGGUGUGAGAACAUUGAAGUGAUAUAACCACAGCUCUGUCUGUCUGCAGGCCUUUCUUCCCCUUCAAUCCAGAUUCCUGUUCAAGCUAAAUAUGACAUCAAAUACUUCAACAUUAUAAAUUGUUCUUAUACUGAUUCUGUGUUUGUGUAUCGCUUGUUCGCUUAAUUUUCUUCUCAAUAAAAACUCUUUCAUCCAA